This 253-nucleotide ribosomal RNA is filed under the name uncultured bacterium. RNAcentral describes it as "partial 16S ribosomal RNA". It matches the Rfam family "Bacterial small subunit ribosomal RNA", at positions 524 to 776 of the family's 1533-position model. The record is from RNAcentral.
UACGUAGGGGGCAAGCGUUGUCCGGAAUCAUUGGGCGUAAAGCGCGCGUAGGCGGCCCGGUAAGUCCGUUGUGAAAGUCAAAGGCUCAACCUUUGAACGCCGAUGGAUACUGCCGGGCUAGAGUCCGGAAGAGGCGAGUGGAAUUCCUGGUGUAGCGGUGGAAUGCGCAGAUAUCAGGAGGAACACCAAUAGCGAAGGCAGCUCGCUGGGACGGUACUGACGCUGAGGCGCGAAAGCGUGGGGAGCAAACAGG